AUACGGAGGAUGCGAGCGUUAUCCGGAUUUAUUAGGUUUAAAGGGUGUGUAGGCGGUAUUUUAAGUCAGUGGUGAAAUCUCGGAGCUUAACUUCGAAACUGCCAUUGAUACUGGAAUACUUGAGUAUAGUUGAGGUAGGCGGAAUAUGUAAUGUAGCGGUGAAAUGCAUAGAUAUUACAUAGAACACCGAUUGCGAAGGCAGCUUACUAAACUAUUACUGACGCUGAUGCACGAAAGCGUGGGGAGCGAACAGGAUUAGAUACCCUUGUAGUCC
This 274-nucleotide ribosomal RNA is filed under the name uncultured bacterium. RNAcentral describes it as "partial 16S ribosomal RNA". It matches the Rfam family "Bacterial small subunit ribosomal RNA", at positions 523 to 796 of the family's 1533-position model. The record is from RNAcentral.